Molecule: ribosomal RNA, 468 nt
Filed under: uncultured bacterium
Lineage: Bacteria
Description: partial 16S ribosomal RNA
Rfam family: Bacterial small subunit ribosomal RNA
Source: RNAcentral
GACGAACGCUGGCGGCGCGCCUAACACAUGCAAGUCGAACGGAGCUGAGAGAAGCUUGCUUUUCUUAGCUUAGUGGCGAACGGGUGAGUAUCGCGUGAGUAACCUGCCCUGGAGUGGGGGACAACAGUUGGAAACGACUGCUAAUACCGCAUAAGCCCACGAUCCGGCAUCGGAUUGAGGGAAAAGGAUUUAUUCGCUUCAGGAUGGACUCGCGUCCAAUUAGCUAGUUGGUGAGGUAACGGCCCACCAAGGCGACGAUUGGUAGCCGGACUGAGAGGUUGAACGGCCACAUUGGGACUGAGACACGGCCCAGACUCCUACGGGAGGCAGCAGUGGGGGAUAUUGCACAAUGGGGGAAACCCUGAUGCAGCGACGCCGCGUGGAGGAAGAAGGUUUUCGGAUUGUAAACUCCUGUCGUUAGGGACGAUAAUGACGGUACCUAACAAGAAAGCACCGGCUAACUACGUG